CCUACGGGUGGCAGCAGUGGGGAAUAUUGGACAAUGGGGGCAACCCUGAUCCAGCCAUGCCGCGUGUGUGAAGAAGGCCCUCGGGUUGUAAAGCACUUUCAGUGAGGAAGAACGCCUGGUGGUUAAUACCCAUCAGGAAAGACAUCACUCACAGAAGAAGCACCGGCUAGCUCCGUGCCAGCAGCCGCGGUAAUACGGAGGGUGCGAGCGUUAAUCGGAAUUACUGGGCGUAAAGCGCGCGUAGGUGGCUUGAUAAGCCGGUUGUGAAAGCCCCGGGCUCAACCUGGGAACGGCAUCCGGAACUGUCAAGCUAGAGUGCAGGAGAGGAAGGUAGAAUUCCCGGUGUAGCGGUGAAAUGCGUAGAGAUCGGGAGGAAUACCAGUGGCGAAGGCGGCCUUCUGGACUGACACUGACACUGAGGUGCGAAAGCGUGGGUAGCAAACAGGAUUAGAUACCCUAGUAGUC
RNAcentral lists this ribosomal RNA (465 nucleotides) under Vreelandella stevensii. RNAcentral describes it as "partial 16S ribosomal RNA". It matches the Rfam family "Bacterial small subunit ribosomal RNA", at positions 338 to 795 of the family's 1533-position model. Lineage: Bacteria; Pseudomonadati; Pseudomonadota; Gammaproteobacteria; Oceanospirillales; Halomonadaceae. The record is from RNAcentral.